ACCAGAAAGUAAUCAUAGUAUACCUGAGUAGUAACAGUUAUGUUCUAAAAAUUUGAAAAAUUUGGCGGUGGUUUAGUCUUGUCAGAGGAACCUGUCUUUUAAACGAUACACCACGAAAUAUCUUACUUAAGUUUGUAGAGUAUGUAUACCAUCAUUAUUAGGUAAUUUUUAUAGAAUAAAUUACUGGGACAAUAUAAUAAUGUUAAAUAUAUUAGAUCAAGGUGCAGCUUAUGCUUAAGUUAUGAUGGGUUACAAUAGUAUUUAUACUAUUACGAAUAAGCAAAUGAAAUUUUGCUUUGAAGGAGGAUUUGAUUGUAAACUUAGUUUAAUAAGCUAAUUAGAUAUAAGCUCUAAAGCAUGU
This 361-nucleotide ribosomal RNA is filed under the name Portunus trituberculatus (swimming crab). RNAcentral's name for it is "partial 12S ribosomal RNA". Lineage: Eukaryota; Metazoa; Arthropoda; Malacostraca; Decapoda; Portunidae. The record is from RNAcentral.